This 901-nucleotide long non-coding RNA is filed under the name Sparus aurata (gilthead seabream). RNAcentral describes it as "lncRNA (ENSSAUG00010015685.1)". Lineage: Eukaryota; Metazoa; Chordata; Actinopteri; Spariformes; Sparidae. The record is from RNAcentral.
UUUUGUUUUCAUCAGGCAUCAUCAAAACAUUCAUUAAAAAAAAAAACCCGUUAGGACAGUGAAAUGUCCCGUCAUGACAAAGUGAGAUUAGAUCAACAUCUUGUCAUCCAUGUGCAGAACUCGACAUUGCAAAACACAUUGAGAAAUACAGAAUGACUGGAUAAGAUGAUUCCAUCUCCAUCCUUAUAAAGAGACGGGUAACUCACGACUGCUCAGCAGAGACGUCCUCAUCACCUCUAGAUCUCACAGUGCUCACUUUGCUGUCUGUGACACCAGUUUUUUCUUUGGUUCUGACAAACAAGCUGUGGAAAGGAUGAAGUGUGUUAUGAUCUUUCUGGUGUUGACGCUGGUCGUCAUCAUGGCUGAACCCGGGGAGAGUCAAUAUCCACCUUCGUGUGUCCCGUGCCGACCUCGAGGGAAAUUACUCAGACGGGAAAGAAUCCAAGAUGAAGUGGCCAAAGAUAAACUGAUGAGAUACUAUGAAGACUGAGUCUGUUCUUGAUUUUGAAGAUACAGUUUGAGCUAUAUCUUUGUGCUUUGCAAAGCAAGAAAUAAUUGUAUGAAUAAACAUGAAGCUCUUGAGAUGUAGAGAUUUUAGUCACAGCUCACAUUGAUGUUGAAAAAAGUAAAAUUGCUUGAUAGUGAAAACUAUCCUGCUGAAUAAAGCUGCAUUCCAAAACACCGUCUCUGUGUUGUGGUGUUAUUUAAGUGAACAUGUGCUUGUAAUUUUAUUGGUGAUGAUGAUCAAAAACAUUGUUUUUCAUUUAGUCAGACAUAAAUGUUUGUAUUUAGUAGAUCUAAAUAAUGAGUGUUGGUGUGAUCAGUUUAUUAAAUGAACACUCUUCCUCUUUCUUUCUCUUUCUGAAUGUACUUGUGUCUCUGAUAAAGCAGCACUUUGGAA